AUUGUCACAACCUUCAAGACGACAGAAUCGAGAUGAAGAUCCUCAAAAAUGACAUAUCCUUCCUUGAAUAGAUGGCGAGAUACAACAUUGUCGUAUUACGUAAAGUCUUGUUUGAGAAUGCACCAAGCACCUGGCUGUAGAAGGUAAAAGAGAAAUACAACAAAAGGUCCUAACAAUCCAAUAGGAUUAUAGAGAAUUUAUAAUUAAACAUUAACAAUCAUAAUCAAAUAUUAAGCAAGCUCAAUUAAAUUUUAUUGAAGUUAUAAAAGAAACACAAGGAAAUCCUAAAGAAAUAUAAAAGAAUAUUAAAGAAAAUUUAGUCAAACCCUAAAAAAAAUCUAAUAGAACCUUAAAUUCUAACCAAAUCCUAAUUCUAAUCCAACCUUAAUCAAACCCUAGAUAAACUCUAAAUCCUAAAUUAAAUCCUAAUCAAAUCUUAAUCCCUAACCAAAUCCUAAUCCAAAUCCUAAACCCUAAACCCUAAACCAAAUCCUAACUCCUAAAUCAAAUCCUAAUAAAACCUUAAUUACUAAUCAAAUCCUAAUCCAAAUCCUAAAUCCUAAACCAAAUUCUAAUCCAAACCCUAAUCCAAAUCCUAAACCCCAAACCAAAUCUUAACUAAACCCUAAACCAAAUCCUAAUAAUUCCUACAACAGAUUUAAACCUCAAUAACUAAUGAAUAAACUGUUGAUCUUAACUAAAAUUUUGCAUACUUCUAAAAAAAUAAGUUAAAAAUAAGCACAAAAAAUUUGAUAAGGAUCGCAAUUACCAAAUUGACGAUAUCCUCAAAAAUGUGCUUGGAUAUUGGCCGACCUCCUUCUCCAAUCUUAAUGCUAAUCUUUCAGAGCCAAUAUCUCUCUUUUGCACCUUUUGAUUGAUCUCAAAAUUCUCAUAUGCAUAGAAAAACAAGUCUAAUAUCCUUUCAUGUAAGUUUCACUCCAAUCCAACUAAUAGAUUGCAAGAAAUCUCAAAAACCCCCACUAGACCUAAAAUUCUACUUUUUGAGACCUUGAUCCACUUAAACCUCAAUAUCCCUCAAUUCAACCGUUAGAUCAAGCUCAAAUUUACGAUACAUAUUAAAAACAACUAAAACCAUAAAUACACAAAAUUUCACCUGUAGAUCUAUUACAAAACUCUUAAAAUCACCCAAAACGUAGACCCUAUUUUAUUUCAUAAAAUCCAAGUCAUCCGAAACAAACCUCGACUUUGCAAAGCUCUUACAAAGUCAUAUCAACUCCAAAUCACCCAAAAUUAACACCCAUAGAAACCCUAUCCAAUAUUCUAUCAAACCCCACUCUCCGAUCUGCCAAAGAGUCCCAAAGUCGUCGUCAAGACUCAGUUUUAAGCCUCAGGGUCUGAUUUCGACCCUGGUUCAUAACCGGUCCUCUCCGGGUAUCAACUUUCAUCUUCUUGAGGUAAUUUUAACUAAUUUGCACUCCUAACUCCUCCCUACAUAUGCUUGUAUCCUUUAUUUUUCUAAUCUACCUUGUUUUGUCUUAUUUAUUGCCUUACAAAUUAAAUAGAAGCAUAAUUUGCAAAAAGGCAGCAUUAGCACCUUUAAUUUUUCUAUCCUUUGACUAAUAUCUAUUUUUCGAAGAUAAUUUGCUACAAUAUUUUUGAAGUGAGAUCCUCAAAAUAUGAUAUUUUUUUCACCCUUUCACUUGUUAUCCAUGUUACAACAUCAUAACGCAUACAUAGAUAACUUAUCUUGCAAGAUAAGACAUGUGGUUAGCAAAGUCAACACUUGUUGAAGGUCCUAUAAGACAUUGCCACAUAGCUCUUAGUUAGAUAGUAUAUAUGGAGGCAAGAGUGAAGCCUUCUUCACUCUUGUCAAUGCCUUUCUAGUCUUAGUCUUGUUUCAAGACUUUCUAAUCUUCUUGUUUUUGGCAAUAGCCAUUUUAGUUAAUAUUAUAUCACCUUUUGAAUGACUUUCUAGUUCUCAUCAGUGAUAGAAGAGUGUAUUGAGGAUUCUUUUUCUUCAAGAUUCAUGUCCUUGACACUUCUUCAACCACUACUUAUUUCAAAACAACCAUGAUCUUCUAUUUCUUUGGAUUUUAUCAUAGAUCUUUUAGUCUCAAGAUUAUGUGAUUCUAUAUUUGUGAUAGUAGAUUAUUUUGCCAAAAUAGAACAUUUUGUAUCAUGCACAAAAUCUAUCACAGGUAAAGAAACUGCCAAACUUUUUCUUGACAAUAUCUAUCAAUAUCAUAGAUUGUCAAAAGAUAUUAUAUUGGAUAGGGGUACUCAAUUUGUAUCAAGAUUUUGGAAAAAUCUUUUUAAGAUUUUAAAGGUGGACAUAAAGCUAUAUUUUGCCUUUCAUCCUCAAAUUGAUGGAUAGACAAAGUACGUAAACCAAGUUUUGGAGUAAUACUUGAGGUAUACCAUCAAUUAUCAACAAAUUAUUCCAGAUCCUCUUGCCAUUGGUAGAGUUUGUUUAUAAUAAUACAUUACAUUCUUCUAUGCAAGAAACACCUUUCUUUGCCAAUUAUGGUUACCAUCUAUGACUUGAUACUUUUGACUUUUUAAAACUUGAUAAUCCUACAAUAGAAGGUUUGGCAAAUUAUUUGUCAAAGCUACAUGCAAUAAUGAAGGUACAAUUAAAGGAAGCUUAAGAACAACAAAAGGUAAACAUGGAUACCUAUGAAAAGAAAAAACUACAAUUCAAUAUAAGUAACAAAGUAUGGUUGCUUUAUUGUAAUAUCAAGACUUCUCAUGUUUGUGAUAAGUUGAACUACCGCAAGCUUGGACCUUUUCUUAUUUGUAGAGAAAUCAAUCUAGUUGCUUAUUGACUACAUCUACCUAAGGCAAUUAAGAUCCAUCUUGUCUUCUACAUGUUUCUUCUUGAACCAUACAAGACUAUGAAUAUAUCAAGAAAAAGAUAAGAUCUACCUCCUCCUAUAGAAGUGGAGAAUAAUAAAGAAUUUAAAGCGGAAGAAAUUUUACAUUCAAGUUGGUGCCAAAAUAAAUUAGAAUAGCAUAUCCAUUGGUAUGGAUAUGAUAUUAAUGAAUGGAUAUGAAAGCAAGUAAAGAAUCUUAUAAAUGCAACAAAGGCAAAAGAGGCUUUUUAUUGAUGACAUUUAUCAAAAUCAAGAUGAAGAAUAGUAAGUCUUUUGCUAUAAAAGAAAUAAGGUCCAAAGAAGAUUGCAUUCUACUUUCUAUCUUUUUUUGUAGCUUUUGUGUAUUUGUCAUGCUAAAGAGAUGGCGAACCAACAACCAACAAAUUUAACUCAAGAGCUUUCAUUUGUGGACUUACCAGAUAAGACAUUGUGAUUGUCACAACCUUUAAGACGAAAAAAUUGAGAUGAAGAUCCUCAAGAAUAACAUGUCCUUCCUCAAAAAGAUGGCGAGAUACAACGUAUUUGAUAUCACAACCUUAGAAGAGACUCUUAAUGUUUGGUGAUUUUAUUAGAGGUAGGAAUAAUUCUUGUCGGUAUUCCAAAUAUUGUAUUUGAAAGAAGUUACAAAGGCCUCAACAACCACCAAAUAACAAGGUGGUCUUCUUGCCUUGAUAUGAGAUAUUAUCAAUGGCUGAGAGGGCCUAUCAACUAUCUUUGAAGGUAACAAAGAUCAGAGUAUGUAACAAAUAUAAUUUGUCACAUCUUGGAAUUUCUCAACAUAUAAAGACCACUCCUUAUAGAACUCGUCUUUAGAAGAGGAGAUGAUGUAACAAACAUACACAUGUAAAUCAAUAAUUACUUAUAUGAUUUAGAUAAUAGUAAAUAAAAGUAGAUUAAUUCCAUAAUAUCUUCUAUAAAAGCUUCCUAAAAGCUUCAUAGAUAUUGCUUUGACUUUAUAAGUGUCUAUAAUUGACUUUUUAGAUUAGAAACGUGGUCAACAAGUUGGCCAUGUACUACACAUGUUGGUAGCUUAAAGAACAAGCUAAUUAUGUGGCUUACACAUAGAAAACUUGCCUUAUAAGCUAAGACAUGUGUCAUGCAAAGUCAACACAUAUUAGAGGUUCUAUAGAACAUCACCAUGUAGUUCUUAGUUAGAUAGUAUAUAUAGAGGUAAGAGUGAAGCCUUCUUCACUCUUGUCAACUCUUUUCUUGCUUUUAGUCUAGAUUUAAGAGUCUCUAGUUUCCUUGUCAUUUGGCAAUAGUUAUUCUAGUUUCUUUUUAUAGAAGAUAUUAUAAGUUUAUCUAAGAAGCUUUUAUAGCCAUCCUUGUCAUUUGACAAUAGCCAUUCCAAUUGCCUUAAUGUAGAAUAUUAUUCUUAGUUGACAUAAUUUAUUUAUCAUUUCUAAAAUAAAAAUAAAAAAAUAAAAAUAAAAAAAUAAAAAAUCAAAGUAUGUAUCAAAUAUAAUUUAUUGCAUUUUGAAUUUUUUCAACAUAUGAUAAUUAUUCAUUAUAGAACUUAUUCUUAGAGGGAAGAGAAGGAGGGAGGGAGGGAGGGAAGUUAUGUCAUUGACAUAACCAUCAUGUAUAAUUACCUACAAAAGAAGAAUUAAGUUGAAAUAAAAAAAAAGUAAAUAUAUUUUGUAUUGUCUUAGGAAGAAGCUUCUUAAAUAUUUUAUAGAUGUAAAUUUUACUUUAUAUGUAUUUAUAGGUGAUUUUUGGGUUGAAAACUUGAUUGAUAAAUUGACCACGUGUUAUAUAUGUUGGAUUUUCAUGGUACAAGUUGGUCUCAUGGCACACAUAUAGAAAACUUAUCUUAUAAGUCAGAUAAGUGUUUCUUAAAUUAGACACAUGUAUGAGGUCAUAUAAAAUGUUCUUACAUACAUCUUAAUUAAAUAGUUUAUAUGGAUGCAAGAGUGAAGCUUUCAUCACUUUUGUCAAUGUGUUUUCUGUUCUUAGUCUUGUUUCAAGUAUCUAAUUUCAUUAUUUUUAGCAAGAAUCAUUCUAAUUUUAAUAUUAUACUAUCUUUGAAUAAAAAUUUAUUAUUUUUUUGUGAUGUAAGAGUUUAUUAAUAUCUUUGAUAAUAAAAUAUUCUCAAAUAUAAAAAAAUUAGAAAUAGAUAAAUAUAUAUAUAUACUUCAUCAAAACCCAAAUUUUAACAUAAAGAUUUUUUUAACAAAAUAAAUAUAGUAAAAAUUUGAAUAUUUAAAUAUUUUAAUAAAAAAAAUAUUUAGUAAUUAAUUCUUGUAUAAAGUAAUAAUAUAUUUAAAUCUUAUUUUAGAAAUUAGAUUUUAUUUUAAAAUAAAUAGUAUAUCCUUUAAGAACCUAUAUUGAAUUAUAAAUGGAUGAAAUAUACAUUAAAUUUGAAUAAAAACAUCAUUUUGCUUCAAUAUAAGAUACAAUUAUUAAUAUUUGAAAAUAAAAAUGUAAUUAGAACAAGUACUUGUCUUUUAAAAAAAUAAGAGAGACAAUUGAGACUAUAAAUAAAUCAUCUUCAAGUAUAUUUUAAAUUUUAAUAAUAUUAUUUUUAAAAAUAUUUUUAUUUUUUACUUUAAAAUAUUUGAUCUAAAAAAUAAAAUUCAUGACAACAAUGACUUAAAUAUAGAAUAAAAGAGAGAUUUUAUGGUAUUUUACAAAUUCGACUAUAAAAAUUGAAAGAUUUACUUAUCAAUUAUAUUUUUAAUUGACAAUAAAUAUUAUAAAUAACUAAUAAUUUUUUUAAAAAAAUUUUAAAAUUUUAAAAUUUUUUCUAAAAUAAAUAAAAAAAUCCUUUAAUAAAUUUAACUAAAUUAAUUUUAAAAUAUUUUUUUAUUAAUUCUUAUAAAAUAAUUCUAAAUAAAUUUAAAUAUCUAAAAUUCUAUCUUUUAUUCUUUAUAGUUUAUAUAUUUUAUUUAUUUAUAUGGAUUGAAUUUUAAAGAAUUUUCAAAAUAUUUAUAACCAUUAUUUUUAAUUGGAAAUUUAUAUAUAUAUAUAUAUAUAUAUAUAUAUAUGUAUAUAAAUAUAUAUACAUACUAAAUAUAUAAAUCAAAUAAAUGGUUGUUGAUUAUUUCAAAGAUAAUAGUUUAAAAAUACAUUAUAUAUAGGUAUUUAUUUAUUUAUUUAUUUCUCUAAAAAAAUUAUCUAGCUAUUAGAUUAAUGACAAAAAUUUGUUUUUAUUUUUGAGAAUUUUAAAACAAAGACUAAAUAAAUAUAUCCAUGAAAUAAUAAAUAAAUAAAUCAAAACUUUAGUUUUUUUAAUCUUUGAUAUGUUAUUUCUUUCUUAAAGAAGUAGAAUGUAAUACUUAAAUAGCAAAGAAGAAUUUUUUCUAUGAAAAUUAGAAUAAAAGUGACACAAGCAAGCAUACAACUUUUGUAACAAAAAAAAAUACUUAAAAAAUAUUUUUUGCUUACUCUACUUUGUAUUUUUGUUUUUUACUUUGAUAUUAAUUUAUAUAAUAAUAUAAAAUUAAAAUCAAAACUAAUUUGUUUACCAUUUAACGAGAAUAACAUCAAAAAAUGACUUAAUUUGAUUUGAAGUGUAUGUUGAAAGAAUAAAACUUGGUCAAUUUUUAGCAAAACAAUAUCUAUGCCUAACAGUAAAUUUUUUCGUCCAUGAUUUUGCUGUAAUAUCUUCUAAAAACGAAAAUAUUAAUUAAAAGGAUGUAUUAACUAAUUAUUAAUGAGAUAUAUUUUUUCAUUUAUAGACUAUUAAAAUAUUUGUUUCUAAAGGUUUUUUUUCCAAACUAAUAUUUUGGAUAGUUAUAAUGUUUUAAUCUAUAUCUUUAAUAUGGUGUAUAUAUAUAUAUAUAUAUAUAUAUAUAUACAUACAUACAUAUAAAUAAAAUAAAGGUACUUUGUAUUAUUAGUUAAUCUUGCAUUAGUAAGACUAGAACAUCUCUCAUUUUAUUUCUAUACUUAUAUUAUAGCAAUUAGUCUUCAUAGGAGUUUCUAUAUUAGAUUCUACAAAUUAUAAAUCAUUUAGAUAAAUACAAGUAUAAUAAACUUUUAGACAUUAUUAAAGGUACUAGAACAUUAUUAAAAAGUGUAGAAGAAUAUAAAAGAUUAUUAAAAUCUUUUAUAAAACUAUAUAAAAUUUUCAAAUUUUAUAAAAAAAUACAUUAUAUUUUGAGGUUUCUAAAAAUUCACAAAAAGUAAUACAAAUUUCUUCAAGAAUUUGAAACAUUUAUGAACAUCUUGUAGAUUGCUUCAAAUUGUGGUUUAUUAUACAUCUAUUACAAAACCUAUUGAAUUUCAUUUUUGGACAUAGAAAAAUAAUAAUAGACCUAAGAAAAACCUCAAAGUAUGUUUUUAUAUAAAUAUGUUAUAUAUACAAAAUCUAUAAGUUAUAUUAAAGAAUUUAAAAAAGAUAUAAAAUUACAAGUUAUAUAGAAUAUAUGAUUAGCUAUGAUAUAAAUUUUAAUUACAUAUCAGCCUAGCAAUUUUAGUUAAAAUUAGAUUUUAAAAUAAAAUAUAUUUUAAAAAUAUAGUAAAUAAUAACUUAAAUUAUUUUAAUACACAUAAUUGUUUUGAUAAAAAAAAAUUAUUAAUUUUAAUUAUAAUAUAAACAUAAAUUUUAUGCUGAUGCAAGAAUUAAUUUUAUUUAAAAAAGUAAACAAACAUCAACACAAUCAUAGAUAAUAGCUAUGAAUCAAAGAAUGAUCACUGUGUUUUUAAAAAUUUGCAAAAUAUAACAUAUAAUUUUUAAGUAUUUAUGUUAUUUUUAAUUAUGUCACAAAAUUAUUAUAAUAGGAUAUUGUGAUUUAAGUAAAACAGUAGAAUUGUAAUGUAAGAUAAUUAGAUGCUACAAAUUUUAAAGUUAAUAAAGAAAUUUAUUUGAUUUUGAUGUUUGUACACAAGAACUAAGCUUCUAAAGCAUCAAUUGUAAAUUCCGAAAAUUUACAAUUGAAAAAUUCUAUCAACUUUAAAUUCCGAAAGUCUUACAGUGAUCAUUAUCAAUAAAUUCUAUUACCAAUUAUCCAACUUGUACAUACUCAAACUCAGAUUCGGUAAUUAUAAACUAUUUUACCAAAUUUUAUUAUUUAAAAUAUUAAAAAUAGAUGAUUUUGUAUCAGGACUAGAAAAAAUAUUUUCAAAAAUAAUUAUUUGUGUUUUUGAAUUUUCAAAAUUACCACGUUAAAUCACAAAAUAAAUCUACUUCUAAACAUGAUUUAAAGUUCUCAAUUUAGAAUAAUUUAUAAAAAUAAUUUUCUUAGUACCAAAUAAUUGCAAUAAUGGCAGUUGGUUAAAUGAUUAUGUAUAUCUAUUGAAUAUAAAUGAAUAGAUAUCUUCAAUAUUUUUUAUUCUAUAAAACUCAAUGUUUUAAAUAACUCAAUAAUAUAUUAAAAUUUCUAUAGUACAUUUAAAUUAAGUUUUUUACUAAUUCAAAGUCUAUUUUUUUAAAUUAAAAUAUGCCUUUAAAAAUAAAAUGAAAAUUUAGAUAUUUUUAUUUACAUCUAAUUAUUUUAUUCGUAUACAUGUGAAAAUAUAUAUUAAAAAAAACUUUCACGUAUUUAACAAUCACAUUUGUUUAUUACAAACCAAAUGACUCUUGUCAAUGUAUCUGUUUGCAACUUUACAUGGUUAAUUUAAUUUUUCAUCCUAAAAGAACAUUUUCAUGCCCUAAUGCCCUAAUCCCUUCAGACAGAAGAGGAACAGACAAAAUAAAAGAGAAUUUAGUGGGGCAUCAAAAAAUGAGAGCACAAUCCGAACAAGUAGACGUAAAAAGAAACCGUGGGGAUCGAGAAGAAGGGAAGGAACCCAACAAGAGAAACAGAGAAAGAAAGGAAGAAAGAUGAGAGACGAAGAAAGCCCAGGAGCUGCAGAAGAAAGAGGAGGAUGAGUUCAUCACGUCGUUCACGUUUCAGCAAAACCCAGUAAGUGGACAAGAAGGCCAAACAAACAAAGAUGGUGAGCACUGGAUGAGGCAAAUGCUAGAACAAAGACUGCGCCGCAUCCACAAAAAUUGCACAAACAAGACAAGACAAUACCUCAAGCCAGACAGACAGACGGACAGACAGACUCUAACAGCACCUUAUUACCUUAUUUAUUACAAACAAACCUAGCUCGAGUUCCCUGUUCCACUGCUCCGACAUCUGCCUUUUACUUUUCCCGUUAACUUUACCCACCUCCGCAGAGAGAAUAUGUGCAAGGAGGAGCCUUCUGCCGGAGCUCUCCCUCCGCUGGUCUCUCACUCUCAUUUUGCUGCUGCUGCUGCAAUAGUGAGUGUCGUUGUGGGUUGUGGGUUGUGCCGGUAGCUAGCAUCAGGGCUUCUUCCACUCCGGGACAUUCAUUGUGUUGCUGCCACACCCGCGUGCGUCGUCAUCAGGAAUCGUGACUGACUGACUGUUUUCAACAGGUUUGCGGUGUCUGGAAUUUCGGGCUUUCUUCUGCGCUAUACCUGGAGCGUGGAGACGGUGCUCGACUUGAGGGAAAAAAAGGGUUUUCGAGUGGGUAGGUGAUUGCGAUUUAGGUGGAAGGUGUCACCAUGCCGAGGUUAGUCUUCUCGAGUCUUGUAAGGCCGGUCUUCUGGUGCACCUAUCUCAGUUUCAAGGAUACCUAUUUUGCAUAUUUAUUUAUUUAUUUAUUUAUUUUCCUUUUGUUCGUGGAUAGACGACCUAACGUGCUAUUCGAAGUGGGUUUUAACUUUUGAAGUCCAUCAGCGAUUGAUAGUUGCAUGUCGCAAAUCAAAAUAUAAAUUUAGGUUUUAAUGAUCUUAAUCAUUUAUCCUUCAUCGGAGCCUGUUAGUUCUUGAGAAAGUGUUACAUUCAGGGUUCUGUAAAUCUCUGCUUUGAGUGUCUUUACUUUGAUUAUGGUAGUGUGUUUGUAUAGAAAAUCGUCCACGGAAGUAAACGGGGACUAAUCCGCUGUCUUUCCUCUCUCAUUGGCUUCGGGAACAUCUUCAACGAGUUGACGCGGGAAGACACUGUUUCUUGAUUUUGUGCAGGUACUACUGUGACUACUGCGACACGCAUCUAACUCAUGACUCUGUGAGUCUCCUCAAACCUUGUGAAAAUGUAUCAGAUAGUAGCAUUUUUUAGUCCAAAUCACGUUUGCGAUUAAUUAUUUUAGCAGUAAACUUUUAAUCAGAUGACGCCGUGCUGAUUCAUCUGUGCUUUGCAAUAAUGUACUUUAUAUGUUAAAGUUGUCUAUACCUUGCCAAAUCCUUGGCCUUGAACGAAAAGUAUUUUUAGACUACUAUGCAGGAAUGUGUUUUAUAAUUCGAAGUAGCAGUUAGGCAUCCACCUAUGUUCAGGAGGUAGUAAACCAAGGUUUGUUGCUGGCCUUUCUGACUAAAAAUCUCGUCAGUAAACCGCUGCUCGGCAUUAACCAUACUUGUAGGGGUGUCUUAUAAAAAUCGAUAUUACUACUUUUCAGAAGUUCUUUAUUUUUUGUUCUCUGGCAAAAUAAAUAAAUAAAUAAAUCUCUAUAUCAUUUUUCUGAAAUAAACGAUUUACAGUAUGUUCUUCAAAAAUAUUAAUUUUGAUGUUUUCAAUAUUGUCUUUCAAAUACAAUAGUUCGAGUUCUAGUUCUCAGAGACUCUUCCUGAAUGUUGUGAUAAUCUAUGAACAUGCAUUCAUGCUGAGAAUGAGUGUUUUUAUGGAUGUGGCAUGUGUACGCAAAUGUAGCCUUCGGUGAGAAAACAACAUUGUGCAGGAUACAAGCACAAGGUGAGAUGAUUUCUCCCUUUUUAGCGCAAGUUAUACGUAUGCGGCUGUACUAAGCUGUCUAGCUCUGAAUAUGUUUUCAUAAUAGUAGUACCUUACUAUGGGCCAUUGCUGCUUGUAGUCGGACACACUGGUUGCAGUAGCCUAGCAUGGUCAAUCAUGUUAAUGUUUUCAUUUAUAUUUCAGGCAAAUGUGCGGCAAUACUACCAGCAAUUCGAGGAGCAACAGACACAAAGUCUAAUUGAUCAAAAAGUGAAAGAACAUUUAGGGCAGACAGCAGCUGCAUUAGCACAACAACAAGUUGGUGGAGCUGUUUAUUCACAUUUGGCAACUCUAGGAGGCGGUUACAAGCCAAUGGCUGCCCCAGGUCUUUUACGACCUCCCGUGUUGGCAGCUGUACGGCCUCCUGUUCUGCCCCCUCCAUCUGGACCUUCUUCAGGUAUAAUUGACCAGCUGUCUUCAUACUAAACAUGUGGUGUGUCGUGGUUAUUAGACGUUUUCAAGAAGUGAAGUAGACACUUCUGUAUCCCGACCACAUUUUGUUGCAUGUGAAGUCUUACCAAAGGCUGCUACACAUCGACCAUGGGCCUUUUGUGAGUGGUUUUUUUUUUUUUUUUUUUUUUUUUUUUUUUUUUUUCUCGUCGUAUACUGAAGAAGCCUAUUUGAAAUGCUGGGUAACUCUCCAUGUAUAGUACAUGACUGUAUGCUCUAUGACAACUGUUCAUAUAAUUUUCUUAAUUAUGUGCAUAUCAGGCUAUGGAAGUGGAGCAUUACCUUCGUACAGACCUCCAGUGGUUCCACCCCCUGGUGGUAGCUCCAAUCAGUAUUAUAAUAAUAAUGGCCCCUCACAGUACUCAACCAGCAAUGGUGCUCCACAGGUUAAUGCAAUCCUCUUCUCGCUUUCCGCCACUCUAAGCUAAUUUAAGAUUCAUAAAUCAGUCAAACUGGCCAGUCUUUUCGUUUCUUUUCCUUCCUUUUCUUCCCAUUCCUUUUCUUUUUGGUGGACUUAAUGCUUAAAAAGCGGUUAGCUGCAGUAGAAAAUUGGCUGAAGCAUUCUCCUGGACUUGGUUUGGCUCUUGUCUGUCAAGUUGGAUGGAGCGGACUAUAGAUAGAGUUAAAUACUGUGUUCGAUAUCACGCAUCUGUUAACUCAUUUACUUUCUUGUCACAUAUACUUUCUUCUCUGGCUUUUUCUUUCAUUUUGAACCUUUUGUGGUCAUAGAAUAGGUGAUUUAUGGCAACUAUUCGUGACUGAAAAACUGAAAGAUAUUUUUCAAAGUGAUCCAUAAAAUAUCCGUUUUUUUAAAAUUAAUUAAUUAUUUUUAUUUAUUAUUUCUACUUCUUAUUGUAUUGUAUUUCAGAAUUCUAUGUCUCUUUCAUGUUCCCUUUAUAGUCAAUGUCUCAACCUUCAAUAUGGCUGCAGUACUCGGUGAACAACAGCUUGGUGCCACAGUCUUACUCUUCAAGUAGCUCGGGUGCUCAGUCUCAGUAUAUGUCGAGUGCCAAUGGAGGGCAGGCUCAGUAUCAAACAAGCAGUGGAGGUACCCAGCAGCAGCAGUAUUCUAAUGGACCAACCAGACCUCCAAUUUCAUCGACAUACAAUCAGGGGCCCAUGUAUCAAAGGUAGAAUGGUGUAAGUGAGGUGAGAACCCUCAGUGUAGAAUUGGACUGUUAUGGUCUAAUUAGUAGACAUGCAUUUGCCUUGGGACUACUUGGGUCAAAUGUGCUCAAAAUCACAUGCAGCGAAUGGCAUUCCACGAUCUUUCUUCAGUGACGAUGAGUUCAAGGCGUUCCUGGCGGGAAGAUGUGGUGCAGGUAGUGUUGUCUGGUAAAAAUGUACUUGCUAAGUUAUAGUCAGGUUAAUAGUUUUCCUGAUGGGCUGACAAACGUUUCAUCUUCUUCAAGUCUUAAUUGCGUUAUGCGGAUGUGUUUGUAAGUGAUGCCACAUUAUCGGGUAUUGAGUUAUUCCUACCAGGAAGGAAAGUUUGUGGUAAUCAUACUACGUUAUAACUCUUGUAGAUAGUUUAGUUGAAUGUCUGUCUAACUGGAAAGGUGUGGUCGAGGACAAUGGUAACAGAUUCGGCACGGAGGUAUCUUCGCUUGGUUUCUGUUGAACUUAUUUCUGAUACUAGCAUCUUCAUAUUUCAUUUGAGUGUGUCUAGCUCGUUUCAAAUUACUUCAUGGUAUCUGAAUCAUAUACUGCGUCAUCAAGGCGCCUUGUGAAGGUUUGUUCACUUUGUGAUUAUUGAAUUUCGUUUGUAAGGUAAGCAAGGAUGUCUUGUGUACCUCGUAAGUUUUAGACCGUUCUAAGUUUAUUCUCUGCUAACUUUCACCUCAUUACAAUUAUAACUUUCUCUUGUUCUAGUUUGCCCUUCAUGGGAAAAAUACCACUUACAGUUGGUGAUUAAAAUUGCAUCCGUUUCAGUUCUUUCUGGAUUUUGUAUUUUCGCGAAAUUUCACAGGUGGUGGUUCAGAUUCCUAGCCGGUACAGUUGUUCCACUAUCCUCUUCCCCUUUAGAUGCAGUUUAUCUUCUGAAAUAUGGCUGUUUUUUCUGGGAUUGUGUAAAAUGUGUUAAAGAUAAUCUUGUAUGUCGAGCAAGAAGGGUCUACCGGCUCGGUAUCAAUUAAGCCCUGGAGGUUCUCUGCAGCCGUUAUUCCGUUGAACCAUACGGUGUCUACUCCAUCAACAUACAACCAAGGACUUGCUUGUUAAAAGAAGACUGGUGUAAGCAGGAUGAGAACUUAGUCCUGAAAAUUGUGUCGAUUGAAAAGGAAAGAACGAAAGUUGGAGUUCGAAGUCGCUAGACUUAACGAUUAUCCUAGAAUAUAGGUCUCAGCAUGUGUGAAUAAUCUCUUUUGUAGCUUCCACAUCUGUUGACCAAUUUGUGACUUCCACAGUUAUCUGGUGACUACUUCCUCGCCUGUGAAUUUCUUUACAUAAGUUCAAUGGUCCACACACAGUGAAUUCACUUAUCGAUACAUGUUCAAUUAAAAUGAUUGGAACAUUACACUCACGUCGGACAUUGUACAGAAUGAUAAACAAUUAAUGUAGACUUACAGUUGGAACUGCUCUGUUCAGAGCUGUACCCACAGUUAACAGCAUAGAAAUUUUCCAGUAUCCAAGACUGUACAAGCGCCAAUUUCCGAACCAACAAUGUAUGGUGAAAUUGUGUAAUCAUGCCGUCAAUUGCCACAAAGUCCUAAACCAUACAAUCCAAUCUGUUUGUAAUGCUAUUUUGGAACAAAGGACCCUUCUCCCUCAUUUGAUACGUACAUAAAAUACUAUCACUAAGAAUUACUCUAGAAAAGCCAACCCAAAAACACUCGUGAUAUGAACAAAUAAUAAAACUAGAUAAACGACGAUUAUCUAUGCUACAAAACCAUUGUAUUCAGAUAUCUCUAGUAUAACCAACUUGAUUUAGAUAAUAUGGAAGUUCUAGAGUUCUCAUCCAGUCUAUUCAAAAUCCAAAAGUGCAAAAAUGCAAAAUAUCACAUAUGUAUAACAACGAAAAUGAGGACGUCGAAUCUCUUAGAUUCACAGCAUCUUCGGUCACUUUCGAUGCAUCAUCGCCUAAGACGUCUAGGUCAAAAGGGGUUGUUCAUGUACAAGUCCUUUCCUCUAAGAGUCGUGGAAGUGUUCCAAAUCGGGGUGACCCCCAGGCGGUCUUCUUGGAUUCCUGCAGAACCGAUAUAAAUGCAAACGAUUGUGUCCAAUUAUCUGAACUGGUUAAUGAUUGAAAAUAAGGAUUGUCGAGAUCGACAAAUAAUUCCUUCACUUCUACACCGCAAAACCAGAUAUCAUGUUUUUCACAUGGAUGCAUAUAUCGUAUGAAGCAACAAAUAUCCUCCCGAACAAAACCUACCAACUACUACACGGAGUAUUCACACCAUAUAGGCCAGUUUGAGAUAAAUUUUGAGUUAAAAUCUCCAACCUAUCUUCAGGGCGAGCUAUUGCAAACAUUGCAUGGUACAGAAUAAUUUAGACAACAUCGCCCGUAUUUUGAUCAAGUGAAUAUUUCCAACUAGUAGCUAGUCACCGGACUCCAACAUUGGGGAGGUGUCACUUGUUUCAAACCUCUAAAGAAACUCAUGCACAUGAAGAUAUAGAAAAUUAUACAUUACCUGGUAAAGCGGUUUGGUUCAAACCCUGGAACUCCUGGAGGUCCAUAAGGAUCAAACCUGGCACCCGGUGGCACUCUGCGAAGCAGAAAUUUCGUACAGAUUCAGAAUCAGUUCAUUGUGCUGUUCAAUUCGGCUUACUUUGAUAAGCAGACACAAUCACAGAUAAUUCUCCACAGAAAAGUUAGACAGUAGGAUUAAAUAGAGAUGUAUAUGUAAAGCCCACUGUGAUAAUACUUAUUGCUUGAACACAAAUUAAUGACUUCAGGUUGCCUCAAACCAUUUGCUAAAGUAGUCGAAUGUUAACAACUCUCACAUCUAAUCAGGGCAACCUGAUAUCUUUUCAGUGACGAUGACCAAUUAAAGUAGCGAGCCAAACGUUGCUUUAGAUUCAUUUCGUUUUGAGGAUCAUGCAGUACUGCUGGCUAACUAUGCUGAACGUUAAAUCUAAAUAUGUUCUGACCAAAGAUAAAUUGACUUCAGUGUAAUCAGAUACUGAUUAUGUAUACAAAUGUAUGAAAAUAUUUUAAGAGGCCAUAAAAGGCAAGAAAUGAUACGUACGAAAAAUCACCACCAAAACCAGGUUGCCCUGGUCGAGGUACUCCCACUGGACCCCAUCGCGGGUCAUUCGGGCCUGCACAGAGGAACGGCCAGAACCUUAUUAGAUCAUGAUCCGUUGGUUGAUAGUCAUAAGGUCCAACUUAACUUUGUACAAGAAAAUAACACAAAAUAAUAUUCUGUUGAGGUUAGAAACACAUACCAACUAGCAUUCCGGGCCCUCCAAAAGGACUCCCGCUGCAAUAACCGAGACAAUGUUAAAGCGACGGUUAAGAUAACUGCAAUAAACAUACGACCUAAAAGUGAGGUGGAUAGUUCAGAUAUAAUGUGCCUAGAGGACACUGAAAACUGCACAUAAUAAGAUUGUGACUGAAAACAACAGACAAUAUUCGAAACACAUUAAUCAAGUUGCUAUCCUUAACUGCAUUGCACCAUCAAAACUUCCUUUAUACAUAGAUAUAAAUAACAAACUCUAGAGGGUUUCUUCGACAUAAAAAGUCAUUUUUUGGGAUGUUGUGCUGUGAUAUGGAAAAACGUGCAUGGUACUAGAAAGGUCCCGCGAAACAAGUUCGCUUACCAAAUUUUUGUGUGCAUAUAUUCGCGCGCAUGCACAGAAAUCCAACUCAGUUUUAUAAGAAUUUGAAAACUCAGCAGAAGAUAAAUCAAGAGAGAAUCUCACCCGGGAACGAAGAUCCCAGCUCCAGGAGAUGGGUAAAGAUCGCCCCCAUCAAAUCCAGGUACUUGAGGAUACGAAAACCUGCUUUACAACGUGAAAGUACAUCUCAAAAGAUCCAAAUAAUGUUUAUUGUUUCUUUUGCAAACUUAAUAAAUACAAUAAAAAUACCUCUAAUAGUUUUCAACCAUGACUAAAAGCUAACAGGACGCAUUUAUUAUGUAAACAAGCUGAUUUAAAUACCUGUGAUCACCAGGUCGCUGCCGGUCAUCCCUGAGUGAAGUACUCAUUUCGGAUGACCGUCUAUCUCCUGUGGUUGAGUCUGCGCUAACCCUGCCUUCAAAAGGAUUUCAUAUUGAUUAACAAGUGCAAACACAACCAGAACUUGAAACACUUUUCGUAAAACGACAACAGGUGUACAAGAAUACCACAGUAUCACGAUAAGGCAUACUUGACAUGCUAAUGCAAAGAAAAUCACCUACGAAACAAUGUCCACCACUCUCAGUAUAGAUAAUAUGCUAAAUUUAGUGCGUGAAGUGGUAAAGGGCGGAAACUAACAUUCUUGUAGAUGUACUCUCUUUCUUGGGAGAAAGUUUACUCGAAAUGGACAAGUUAACAAGAUUCACCAAGCCUUCAAGGUUUGUGUACUGCUGGUUAUAACUGCCUGCUGCAUCUCCAUCAGCUGCAUAGAGGGUUGUCCUGCGAUUAAAUCGGAAGCACUUGAAUUAGAGAGAACGAGCAAAUUAUAGCUUACCAUAAAAAUAAUAAUAACAGAACUGAAAGAUGACUAAGGCGAAAGAGACUUCUGAGAGCCACUUGGAUAGAGAAGAUUGCAGUAGAAGCUACAAACGUGGGGGGUAUAUCAACGUUCAAAUGUUGUUCACUCAGGUGGCUGGACAAGGAGAAGACAAAAAUACGAAAUUGGCAAGAAUCUGUAGAGUUGAAUAGCAGAAGGAAAAAAAAAAAAACAAAACAAAACAAAACAAAACAAGACAAAAACGAAAAAAAAAGACGGAACAAAAAACAAAGAGAAGAGGAGGAGGCCAAUUGCUAACUUGAUCUCGGCAUGCACGGGAGUAUCCAAUCCCGAUGACACUGCAUCAACCAUGAGAAAUUCGCCCAUAGCAAUGCAAUUGACGGUAAUUGAAGGCAAGAGAUCGGGUUGGCCACUUCCAGAAUAACGAAAUGAAUAGGCACCAGGCAUCUCAUCCCAGCCGUCAAUUCCAACCUCGGGCUCGUCCUGCAGGGCGGACAAUGGAGCGGAGGAGGGAUUAGCCUUGGUGCCGGUGGCAACGAGGGAAUAGCCAUUGGCUAAGAAAGUGGCGUGCAGGGCAAAAGCAGCGCGAUCCAAAGCAGAUCGAAGAGUGGGACGCGAGGCGCGAAUAACGCCCAAGACGGCCCCAGUCGUAGACAUGGUAGACAGACAAAACAGAGGAGAAGAGAAGAGCAGAGUGAGAGGGGCAGAGGAGCUGUGUGCUGUGUUGAGAGGAGGAGCGAGAGCAGGAGGCAGAAGCCAGAAAUAGAAGAUGAAGAUGAUGAAGAAGAAGACGGACACCGGGACGGAGAAGCCAGUUGAGGGAGGGUUGAGGAGUGGACGCUGGGGUUGGGAUUGAGGCCAUCAAACCCACAACAUCCUCCCUCCCUCCCUCCCUUCCUUCCUCCCUCCCUCCCUUCCUUCCUCCCUCCUCUUCUUCCCUGCCAAAGCACAGCACAGCAGCGUGUCACACAGACAGAUAAGCGAAAUGCCCCACCCCUGCUGGUGCUCCACGAUGGACAGAGUUUUUAACAGAUGUUUAUCAUCCAUCCAUGAGGACGUAAGCUUGCUAUUUUCACCACUCCAACAAUGCACCUCAACACCCACAGCCAGCCGGAGACGGGUGGGCGCGGGAAUGCGAGUGCAUUUUCAUCUUAUGGAUGGAUGUGUAUAUGCGUGGAUGGAUGUUGAUUCAGGCGACGAAUUGGGAAGAGGCUCUGCUACUCGUGCGCAAUGGUUGGGAGGGGGGUUUUACAGUUUUUUAGCAUAUCUCUACACCUGUUUUCAAUAACUUUUGAGAGAAUUACGAAUUGUGAUGUGAUCUUCACCUGUUAUUAGAGAAGAAGAAAGUAAAAAUAUUACAUGAGUGUUAUUUACAAUGUAUGAUUGCACAAUCAGAAUCAAUAAAUAUCUGUUUUGAAAAGUUUAUCAUUCUUAUUCAUGUGAUUAUUGAUAUUAUUUACAGAAGGAGAUUUCAGAAUCAUACGUGAAGAAACUAUUCCCACAAACUGCAAGUCUGAUCCAUCAUGUACAAGUUCAUUUAACUAAGUGUUUUCACAAAUGCAGUUGUUUUUAUCAUCUGACUGCUUAAUAGGUUAUUAUUAGAAUGGUAAACCAUUAGAAAAAUACAGUCUUAGAUGGAUAGAUAUAUGUUUAAAUAUCUGCAGGUUUUCAUUUGUAUCAUGACUUAUUUUACAGUUCAAUGAGCAGGAAUGAUUUAAUUACAGUACUUGAAGGAUGGUUGAAGUAUGAUUUGGAAUUUGGUACCAAACUGGAUACACAAACAUACUGCAUUGGUGCACUUAUUCUAAAGAACUGAUUCUUUGAAUAAAAUGUUUUUGAGAUACAAGCUAAAUCAGUGUAUAUGACAUUUAUAACAAGUACAAAUUUUUGAUAAACUAUUAACCAGUUGUAUAUUAUUGUAUAAAUAAAUCACUGUAAUAUUUAAUAUUUUUGAACUAGAUAAAAUAUAUAUAAUAUUUAAUAUUAUAUAUGUAUAUAUAUAUAUAUAUAUAUAUCUAUAUAUUCUAUGGCCUUUUAGGUAUUAUUAUUAAAGUAACAAUAUUUUAUUCUUAUUUUGAUGCAAAUGUAGAGUUGGGAAUAUAUUUUAAAACUACAAUGUGAGAUCUUGACGCCUUUUGUUGCUACAAAAGUUUUUAUACUUAAGACAUGUUUCAACUAACUCGUUUUAAAAUAAUUAAGUGUCUAUUUGAAAUAAAAGUAUCGCAAUAAAUUAGAACUUAGCAAGUAAAGUCAUAUUCUACCGUCUAAGUGGUGUAAAUGAAUAAUAUAAGAAAUUCUAUAAGUAUUUUUGGAUGUUUCUUUAGUCACUUUGAUAAUUAAAAGCUGAUUGCUAUGAACAUUAUGUCAAUGUUAAAAGAGUAACAUAAAGUGUAAAAUAUAAACAAAGAAAUUUUACUUAAAAGUGACAUCACUAUUGUAAAAAAGACAAGGUAGAAAUGUGGUUUAAGGUGAUUGCAUUAAAAAUAUACAAUUCUGGUUUUAAAAUCAUAUGUUAAAGCAAGUUAUUGACAUAGAAUAAAAUAUAAUAUAAUAAUUUAAUAUUUUAUAUAUUUAAAAUUUAUAUAAAAAUAAUUAUAAUAUUACAUUAUUAUAUAAAAAUAAUAAUGUAAUAUUAUAUAUAUUUAAAAUUAUAAUUAAAUAUAAUUAAAUAAAAACAGCUAUGCAUAUAUAUAUAUAUAUAUAUAUAUAUAUAUAUAUCAAAUGGUUCUUUACAAAUGUCAAUCAAAAAAAUCCUAAAAUUCCAAAGUAAAGAAAUAUAUCUUAAAAACUUUUACAUUUUAUUAUAGUUGUCUUAUAUUGUAAUAUAUAAUAUAAUAUAAUAUAAUAUAUAUAUUAUAUUAAUAUAUAAUAUAAUAUAAUAUUAAUAUAUAAUAUAAUAUAAUAUAUAUAUUAUAUUAAUAUAUAAUAUAAUAUAAUAUUAAUAUAUAAUAUAAUAUAAUAUAUAUAUUAUAUUAAUAUAUAAUAUAAUAUAAAAUAUAAAAUAUAUUAAUUUUAUUAUAUUUCUAAAAUAAAUAUACCUUUAUAGUUGUAAAACAUAUUUUUAUUUUUAUUUUUUCUAUUACAAACUAUCUUUUUUAAUAAUCAUCCAAAAAUAAUCAAUAAUCUUUAAGAAUAAUCAAUAUAAUUAUUUAAAACUAUAUAUUUUUCAAGAUUAUGCAAAAAUAAAUAAAAUAACUUUGAUAAUUUUUUUAUCUUUCUUAAAUUAAUAUAUUUUUAAACUUUUAUAUGAUAUAAUUAUUUUUGAUUAAAAAAAUUCACAAUAAACUUAUUUAUUAUUUUAAUUAUAUAUAUAUAUAUAUACAUAUUUAUAGCAAAUUAAAUUAAAAUCGUAAAAAAUAAUAUAUGUAUACAUAUUCCAUAUGAAUUGUAGCACCUUAGAUGUAGGUAGAAGGAUAAAUCUAAGGUUUCAUGGCUUCUCUAGGAUAUCCUUAUACACUCCUUUUAAGCCUCAAUGAGGCUCAAAUUAUUUAUUUUUUAAUUUAGUUAUUUUUGAGGUAAAACAUAUUCACUUAAUAAUUAAUUAUUUGUUUUGUAUCUUUAAACCUCCAUAACAUAAUCAUAAUAACUUACAUUUGUAUAUUUUUCCAUGUAAUUGGAAAGAUAAAAAAUAAUAAUUUUUUUUUAUUAGAUAAAUACCUAAUAAAUAAACCAUAAUUAGUUUUAUAGUGAAUAAUUGCUUUAUUGCAAUUCUAUUAUUUUUUUUGUUUUGUUUUGUCUUUUUGUCUUUUUUUUUUUUUUUUUUCUUAUUUUUUUUCUUUAACUUCAAACUAUGAAUUAUAAGUAAUUUUUAGUUAAUGCUACCUUGUAAUUUAGAUUGAGUGAUAAAAUUUAUUCUCACAAAGAAUACAAUAUUAAAGACGUCAAUCAUUACAAAAAAAAAAAAAAAAAAAAAAAAAAAAAAAAAAAAAACUCAAUGCAUUCUUAUGCCAUUAGAAAAAAAUAGAUAUUUAUUUAAAGAAAGUAUAAUAUUAAGAUUAGAAUGGCUAUUGCCAAAGACCAUAAGACUAAAGACUUCAUAAUCAAGACUAAGAACAAUAAAGGUGUUGAAAAGAGUAAGAAAGGCCUCUCUCGUGCCUCCAUAUGUACUACCUUUCUAUCAUUUAGCCUUGUUUUUCUAUUAUAUCUUUUUACUAGGCUCUUUAAUAAUAACAUCCAUAUUUAUUUUAUUUUUUACCAUAAAGUCAUAUUAUCACACGAUAUCCACCUCUUUUAAAUCUUUGCAUCCUUUGGUAUAUGCCAAAUAAUCCAAAACUUGUUUGAUUCAUAUUAUAUUCUCUAUACCUUCAUUCAAAUCUUUUUAUAUUAUUUUUGGUAUCUAAGUCAAAAUCACCUUCUUAACAUAGAAGUUUUAUUUCUUCUACAAGGUUUAAUAAGUCUUUAUGAACUAAGAACAAGUAUCUUAUUUUCCAUAAUUUACUUGUCAUACUAAUUAAAUCAAUAAUCUAUUAUAAAUAAAUAGCUAAAAAAUAUGCUUAAUAUAAGUCAUCUUGAUAUCAUAUAUUAAAAUAUAUUUGAUAAGUUUAUUACAAUUUUAUCAUGGAAAUGAAUAUUUAUUCUAAUAAUUAACUAUAUGACGAAAUAGAAAUAAGUAAACAUAGAUUAAUUUCAUAAUAACUUUUAGAAAAAUUUUCUAGAAGCUUUAUAGAUGCAGUUUUGACUUUACAUGUGUUUGUAAUUGAUUGGUAGGUUAAAAUCUUGGUCAAUAAGUUGACCACAUACCACACAUGUUGGUAGCUUGUAGAACAAGCUAAUUAUGUAGCACACAUAUAGAAAAUUUCCUUUGCAAGUCAAGUCAACACAUGUUGAAAGUCCUAUACGACAUUGUUACAUAACUUUUAGUUAGAGAGUAUAUAUAGAGCCAAGAGUGAAGCCUUCUUCACUCUUCUUAAUGCCCUAUAAGUUUUUAGUCUUAUUUCAAGACUUUUUAGUACUUUGUCUUUAUUAAUAGCUAUUUUAAUUUAAUAUAUUACUAUCUUUGAAUAAAUUUUUAAUCUUUUUAAGUGACACAAAAGUCAAUUGAAUUUUCUUUUAUUAAGAUUCAUGUCUUUGAUAUUUUGAAAAAAGUGCCAACUUCUUAUUUUUGUUUUUUUUUAAAAAAUGAAUAAAUUAUUCUACUUCUAUUAUUAUAAUUUGAAGGUUGCAAAUUAUCCACUUUUAAACAAAUAAUUUAAUUUUUUAACAUUAAUUUUUUUCUUAAAGAAAAUGGAUUAUCUUUUUUUGUAGAAAUUUUUAUUUGAUAUUAAAGGUUGUAGUUUAUCUUCUUCUAAUUUAAUUUUUAAUAUUUUUUAAUUAUCUAUAGAAAAAAAUUUUAGAACUCCAAAGUCUACACCAAAAAGUUAUGCAGUUGAAAGAAGUAAGUAGAUCAACUUUACAACUAAAUUUAAAAAGUUUUGCUUCUACAAGCACAAGGGAGAUAAAGAUUAAUAUGCAAGAGAAGUUUGAUGGAACAAAAUCAAAAUUUUGAAGAUUUCUAUGACAGAUUAAGUUUUUUUUAAAGUUUACAUCUUUUCAAAUAUUAUGAUGGAUUUACACAAGUUGGAUUCAUAGGUGCACUUCUAUUAAGAAGUGCUCUCUUUUUAUUUGCAUCUUUGACAAAAAAAUGUUUACAACUAUUCUAUAAUUUAAAUUCAUUCUUGGAAGUAUAUAUGGCUAUAUUUGGAAGAAAUGAUCAAAAAAAGAUAGUAGAGACCAAGCUCAUAUCACUAUAAUAAGGAUUAUGCUCAAUCACUAUAUAUAUUGUUGAACUCAAAAUCUUACUUUUGAUGUGGAUUAAGAUAGCAAAGCCUAUAUCAAUCAAAUUUGAUAUGGAUUAAAAAAUAAUAUCAAAAAUUAAUUAUUGAUAAUGUCAAGAAUAGAUUCACUGGAGCAAUUUAUUGUUCAAGCCAUUGGAUAUGACAAUUGAUUCUUUGAAAGAUAUCAAAAAUAAAGAUUUGAUUGAAGAAGUACAAGUCAAGCCAUAACAACAUCUUUUAAGUUUUUGAAAGUUUAUUUGUCCAAAUUAGAGAUAUGUAAAUUGAUACAAUAUAUUUUAAAAUUCUUAUUUAGUAAGAAAAUAUUUAUUUUUGUCAAGAAGAUUUGUGCCUAUAUUAUAGAUAAUCUAAGAAUAAUGCUUAAUAUUAUCCUAAGUAGCAACACAAUCACAAAAUGAGCAACAUGGUUUUCAAAGAAGACAACAUGUUAAAAAAUAAAUUUUUCUAGCUAAAAUAGAAACUUUGUAAUUAAAAUCUUCUAUAAUACCUAAUAAAGGUCUUAUUCUCUCUUCAGAUUCUUCACGUUGUUUCACAAUAGAAGUUUAUUUAGGAUUGAAAAAUCACAAAGUCUUAGCCUUGUUAGAUUCAAGAGCUUUAGCUUAUUAUAUAAGUAAAGACUUUGUUAAAAUAAGAAAUAUCAUUAGUUAAUAAAAAUAAAAUUAUACAUAUAGAAGUCAUAGAUGAUCAUUUAUUAUCUUCUAUAUAUAUUAUUUAUGAUAUUAUGUUUUUAGAUGUAGCAAUUAAAGAUCAUAAUAGCAUAAUAAUAUUUAACAUAAUAAGAUUUUCUUCCAAUCUAGUUAUUUUAGGAUUAUUAUGGUUAAAAAAGUAUAAUCUUCAAAUAGAUUGGAUUUCUUGUAUCCUUAAUUUUUCUUAUAGUUUGAUCUAAAAUUUUAUUAGUCAAAUAAAAAUAUAUAAGUCUAGUACAUCCAAAUCCUUACUAAUAGAUAGAAAGGCUUGUUUAUAUGUAGCAAAAGAAGGGUCAUUUUUUGUUAAAUAUGACAUAUCUAUUUUUAAUAGUAGAAAGACCUCAAGUAGUAUAUUUAGUAGGUAUCAAGAUUUUCAAGAUUUUUUUUAAAUAUAUAUAUAUAUAUAUAUAUAUAUAUAUAUAUAUAUAUAUAUAUAUAUAGUAUUGAUCCUAUGAUUAUUCAAUUGAUUUACAAGAAAGAGCUCAACUACCAUUUGGAUCAAUCUACAACUUAUUGGAAAAUGAAUUUGCUAUAUUAAAAGAUAUAUUGACAAGAACUUGGCUAAGAACUUCAUACACCAUUCAAAAUCUCUAAUUAGAGCUCCUAUCAUAUUUGUGAAGAAAAAAGAUGGAUCUCUAUAGAUGUACAUAGACUAUGAAGGACUUAUUAAGAUCACCAUCAAGAAUAGGUAUCUCCUACUUCUAAAUUUAAGACUUCUUGACCAAUGCAAUCAAGAAAAGAUCUACACAAAAAUAGAUCUACAAUGAGCAUAUAAUCUCACCUGCAUCGAAAAAAGAUAUGAAUAAAAGAUUAUUUUUUGAACUAAGUAUAGACAUUUCAAAUAUAAUGUCAUACCUUUUAGACUCAUGAACAUACCAGUUGCUUCUUAAUAUCUCAUGAAUGAUAUUUUUUGUAAAUUUCUUAAUAAAUUUCUUAUUUUUUAUUUAGACAAUAUUCUAAUAUAUUCUAAAAAUACACAAGAACAUAAACUUUAUAUUCAUGUUGUAUAAAAAAAAUUUAAAGAUGUAUGAUUAUAUGCCAAAAUAAAAAAGUGUAUAUUUUAUACUACUUAAGUUGAUUUCUUAGGUUACAUCAUUUCUCCUCAAAGUCACUCCAAGUGUCUAAAUUAUCUCUAUGCAAAUCCUUCAUUUUUUUUUUUUAAUUUUAAGAAUGCAUGCCAGUUGAAAACUAGGGAUAUGGCAAUACUCGAAGACUUGAUAUACUUCCAUUUCUUUAAUAUAUGCUUGAAGAAACUUAGUGAUGUUCUUCCCAUCAAACCUCUCAUACUUAUUGACCAUGCUUUGCAAUGCUUUAGUCACCCUCUUUUUACUUCAUUGUACAUUUUAUUAUCUCUCAACAAACAUAUCCAAAGUUAAAAGCAAAUCAUUAGCACUUGUUCUUCUAGUGCUACUUGUACUAGUCCCUCCAAAAUCAUCCAUCAUCUUCAAAUAUCAAAAAUCUCUCACUUCUUCACUUUUAAUUCUUGAAUUCCUUCCCAGGGACCAUAAAUAAUCCAAAAUAAAGUAAAUUAGAAAAUUAAAUAAUUAGGCAUAUAUAGGAAGAAAUUAAGAGUAGAUUUUAGCAAAAUUUAUUUUAAGAAGUUAAGAAUUGAUACUCAAAGAGGACUAAUUGUCAAUCUUGGUUGAAAUUAGACCUUGAGGUAUAAAAUCACAUAUCAAUGGCAACUUCGGAGUUCUUUGGUAGAUUGAAGAGUAGAAUUUUAUAUUAGAUUUGAAGAAAAAAAUUUGGUCAUGGGUUUCUUGAAUUUUGUAGUAUGUGUAGGGAUAAAUUUUGGACUAGGUACAUUAUAUCAACCAUACUAGGUGGACAAGGUCAAGAACACCAAAAUUUUAAUGCCACAAAAUUAAUAAAGGCAACAAGGUAAGAUGGCUUGGAUUUGAGUUAAUGGAGGUGAACUCAUUUGGAACAUGGAGGUUGCUUGGGAGAAAGUUUGUAUUCACUAGAAAUGUUAGAAUUAUUGGAUUGGAUAGUUAUUUGAAUUAAGAUUGCAUGGAAUAUCAAAUUAUCAUUUAGUUUUAUAGCAUGAAUUAGAAAUUCUAAAGAAAGAAAGAAAGAAAGAGGGUUGCAAUGUCAUAUUGUGGUUUAGCUACUAUGUAAAAAUAAUACAUAUAAAUAUUUAAUAUAUAAUUUAUUAUACAAUGUGGUAAGAGCCACAUUAUUAGAUUUUAUUUAGUUAAAAAAUAGAGUUAGAUUACUACUUUGAAGUAGUUAAUUUAAAAGGACUUUUAUUGAGAUUGAUUUUAUGUUGAUUUUAGUUUUUAUAUAAUUAGAGUCAUCUUUAUUAGAAAUUGGCGACUCUUAAAAUCAUAUUUUAUUUUUUUUAUUUAGUAUUUAGGACAGAUAUUAUAUAAAUCUUAUAAAAAAGACGAUUAGAGAUGGAUUUUGAUAGCAAAAUGAGUAAUUAGGACAUGUGUAUGGAUUAAUGGAGAUGGAUGAUGAAAAUCUCUAUUAUUAUUGGCCAAAAGGCAUACCCAAUUGGCUCCAAAGAAGAUGCCUAAUGCCUUAUUAGAGACCACGAUUAUUCUUUGGAUGAAAUUCAAAUUUAAAAAGUUAGAAUCAAAAAGUUUAAGAUUUUGGCUAUGGUUUUGAUACAAAUUUUGGAUGUUUUGGAGUUUUUAUGAGAAAAAUAUAGGUGCUCAAUGUUAGGAUGUGGGUUUUAUAUCUACUAUCACGCUUUGGGAUAUAACUCAUGCAUUUGAAAAGCAAUAAAGGAUCGGCAAUUAGGAUUGAAAAAGAGCAUUUUUUUUGCUACACUUUUUGCAUACUGCUUGAUAAAUUCUAAGCUGAGAUAAAGGAGUUAUAGGAAGUUGAAGUUAACACUUGCAAUCUAAGGGCAGUAAAAGACUUGAUUUACUAGUGGUUAUAUUUUGAACCAAAUCUUGAGAAAUUUGACAAAAUUUUGGCCAAUUUUUUUGAAAAUAUGUGUUAUCAUGUUAAUAAAUUUAUACUUAAUUUUUGUGGCAUUUGGAGUUUGGAUUUUUGAGAUAUAGAGAAAAUAGUGUUUGGAUGCUUGUAAAUUAGGAUUUAAAGCACUUGCUAAGGUUUCUAAGAUGCCAAAUGCUCUUUAGUAGAUUUAUAAUUUAUUUUUUUUAUAGUGAAGCUUAAGAAUAUACCCUAUAUUUUCUAGAAAUUUGAAAAAAAAAUUAAAUGGUAUGAUUAAGAUAUAUGAAUUUUUAAAGUUUGGAAGAGAAAAAAAAAUCUUUGUAGAAGAAAAAUAUUUUAAAAGGUUUUUGCUAUAAUUUGGAUAUUUUAUGCAAAAUAAAGGGAUUUUUAGGAGCCAAGAUAGUAUGUAUAUAUGUAUAUAUUAGAGAUAGAGAUAUAGAGCUAUGAAAAAUUAUAAUAUAAAGAUGGAUAUUUAUAAGAGAAUUAUAGAUUAUCUGUAAGCUUAUAAAAAAUCAAACUUAUCAGCAAAUAACUAAUUAUGAUUUGAUAUAACAAAGGAUAUAUGAACAUUUUUAAAUCCUUUAGAAAGCCUUAUAUAUAAAGCUUCUUAAAUACAAAAGGAUUUUAUUAUUAGAAUAUCUUUAGAUACUAUCAUAUUUCUUUGGCCUUUAUAAUAAGAAAACAUCACUUAUUGGAAUUUGUCUAAUAAAUUAAAGCUAAAUUCUCUACAACUAGGCAUUUGGUGUAUUCUUGUAUAGAGAAUUAUACCACAUGACAGUGGUGUGAAGAGGUUUUUUGGUCGUGGGGCAUAGGAGUAGAUCCAGAUUAGUGGAGAAGGUUGCUGAUCAAGAGAAAGAGGAAGUGUAGAUUUUAAAGGAACUUGAGUUGGCUAUAAGAAAGGCAACAAUAAUAUUGCAUUGAAUUGGUGUUGACAAUAUUGUACUAAAAUUAUUUAUAGUAUAUAAAAAUUAAAUAAAAUAUAUAAUAUAUUUAUAAAUAUUGAUGUAUAUUAGAGUAGUUAAUAAGAUAAUUUAAAAAGAGUUGAUAUAAGAAAAUUUCCUUGACUUUGAACAAAAAUUAUAAAAUCAAACCAAAUUCUAUAAAUAAAAAGCCUUAUUUUUUUAGAACAAGCUCUAAGCUAGCUCUCCAAUCCUAAUUGCAAAUUUUUAAAUGCCUCCCUAUUUUGCUCUAGGCAAUUGUUUUAGUAGUUAGAGGUCUGAUUUUGACCAUGUCUCACAAAUGGUCGAUCCAUGAGUAUCAAUCUAACCUAUCCUAGGGAUUUUUUAGCCCAAUCCUAUCUUUAACUUAACCUUAGUAUCAACUAUGCUAAUUAUUUAUCUCUUUUAAUCUAACCUUAUGAAUUUAUAAUCUUUCAAAGGUAAUAAAUGAGUUUCUACAGCCUAGAAGGUAAAAUUACUAACCAAUCUUUAACCUACUAACUAUUAAGGCAAGAUAAUAAACUAAAAGAUUUUUAUAAAAGCCAUGUUUAAAUAUCUUAAAUUUUUAUUGAACCAAGAUAAUUAGAUAUUAAUUAAAAUUUUAUUUUUGAUUAUAUUUUUACAAUAUAGUCAUAUUACAAUAUGACAAUGGAUCUUAUUUGUAUAGUUGUUUUAGAAGAGACAACAAAGUGAAGGCAUUCCUAUAGGAAGAGAUUUAAGCAGUGGUGUUGUAGGGACAUUGUCGUAAUACAUAAAAUCUUACUCAAGAAUAUAUUAGACACCUUGCAGUGAAAGGUAGAACAAAAAUUACAACAACAAAAUUCCAACUCUAAUAGAAGACUAAAUAAAUUCUAAUUAAAAUAUAAUAAUAUUAAGCAAGCUUUAAUCAAAUUUAAAAGAGAAUUAAAGAAAUUAUAAAUGAAACAAUAAGAAAUCUUAAAAGAGUUCAAAAGAAAUCAACAAUAAACUUUAAAAGAAUCUUUAAGAAAUUCUAAAAAAAUCUUAAAAUAAUCACAAAUAUAUCUUAAAUAAAUCUCAACUAAAUCCUAAUUUAAUCAUAGUUAAAAUCCUAAUAGACUUGAAUCAAAUCCUAGGCAAAAUCCUAACUACACUCUAAAUCGUAAAUCAAGCCCUAGACAAAUCCUAAACUCUAAACCAAAUCCUAAUAAAACCCUAGACAAAUCUCAAACUCUAAUUAAAUCCUAAAUUCUAAAUCAAAUUCUAACCAAACCUUAGAUCCUAAAUCAAACCCUAAACCAAAUCCUAACCAAAUUCUAAAUCCUAAAUAAAUCCUAAUCAAAUCCUAAACUCUAAACCAAAUCCUAACAAAAUCCUAAACCCUAAAUCCUAAAUCAAAUCAUAAACCCUAAAUCCUAAUCAAGUACUAAAUCCUAAACCAAAUCCUAACCAAAUCUUAAUCCUAAACCAAACCCUAACUAAAUCCUAAA
This 28327-nucleotide long non-coding RNA is filed under the name Physcomitrium patens. RNAcentral's name for it is "long non-coding RNA (PPAT_LNC007848)". The record is from RNAcentral. Lineage: Eukaryota; Viridiplantae; Streptophyta; Bryopsida; Funariales; Funariaceae.